UACGGAGGGUGCAAGCGUUAUCCGGAUUCACUGGGUUUAAGGGGUGCGUAGGUGGAUUGGUAAGUCAGUGGUGAAAUCUCCGGGCUUAACCCGGAAACUGCCAUUGAUACUAUCAGUCUUGAAUACCGUGGAGGUCAGUAGAAUAUGUCAUGUAGCGGUGAAAUGCUUAGAUAUGACAUAGAAUACCAAUUGCGAAGGCAGCUGGCUACACGAAUAUUGACACUCAGGCACGAAAGCGUGGGGAUCAAACAGG
Molecule: ribosomal RNA, 253 nt
Filed under: uncultured bacterium
Lineage: Bacteria
Description: partial 16S ribosomal RNA
Rfam family: Bacterial small subunit ribosomal RNA
Source: RNAcentral